GAUUAACGCUAGCGGCAGGCCUAAUACAUGCAAGUCGAACGGUAACAUGGGUAGCAAUAUCUGAUGACGAGUGGCGCACGGGUGCGUAACGCGUAUGUAAUCUACCUCUAACUGGGGGAUAGCCUUCCGAAAGGAAGAUUAAUACCGCAUAAUAUAAUGAAGAGGCAUCUUUUUGUUAUCAAAACUCUGGUGGUUAGAGAUGAACAUGCGUGACAUUAGCUAGUUGGUGAAGUAAUAGCUCACCAAGGCUAUGAUGUUUAGGGGUCCUGAGAGGGUGGUCCCCCACACUGGUACUGAGACACGGACCAGACUCCUACGGGAGGCAGCAGUGAGGAAUAUUGGUCAAUGGGCGCAAGCCUGAACCAGCCAUCCCGCGUGCAGGAAGACGGCCCUAUGGGUUGUAAACUGCUUUUCCAGGGAGAGAAACUUACGCACGUGUUGCGUGACUGACGGUACCCUGGGAAUAAGCAUCGGCUAACUCCGUGCC
Molecule: ribosomal RNA, 487 nt
Filed under: uncultured bacterium
Lineage: Bacteria
Description: bacterial SSU rRNA
Rfam family: Bacterial small subunit ribosomal RNA
Source: RNAcentral